GGUGGGUGAGUGAGUGCAUUCAUAGGAAUUUAAAAUGUAAAACGGGCUUAAUUGGAUAAAAAUAAUCAACUGUGAAUGGAUACCGGCUAUUUAUAAGUGAAAUGAUACACGCUCCCUUAAUUGACCAUAGUCUGACUUCUCAUUGAAUUGUUUGCUGUUUGCUUGGGGAAAAAAUGCCAGCUGGAAUGCAGGGGGGAUUAAGUUUUAUUUAUUUUCCUUGCUAAGAGCCACAUUGUGCAAUUUGAAAGGAAAUGUCCUUGGAAGACGGAUUCCUCCAUCCGCUGUUUCAGCCCUUGUUUGUUUUCUGGUGGAAAUUAAUUUCUCAAAGGCCCUCCGUGUUGGAAAGGGCACGCUGAUAGGUGCAGGGAAAUAAGGAACUGGAAACAAGAUGCGCCUUAGCAGGCUGCAGGAUGGAACCUUCGUGCGUGCAGGUGGUGAGAAGUGACCUUCGGGAGGAACCCACGCUGAUGUGUUGAGUUUUGCUGGGACUCUUCAGUGCUCUUUGGGCUCUGAUACGUAAGUAAGGUGGUGCAGCCACGUGUGUCAGCUCACUGCUGAGCUCAGCGCUGGGGGCCCUGCUUUGGGUGAGUUCUGCUGUGGGAUGUGCCAAUGGGAAUGGAUUGAAGCGGCUCAAAGCGUUCCAUGGGAGCUCAGCCUGCAUGCCUUUCUCCCAGCAGGUUGGAUGUAAGUUGGGUCUGAUGAGUUCCAGGUGUUCUUCCAAAGGUUUGGAGCUGGAGAGAACAAUUGUGGGCAGCCAUGGGGUCACCUUUUCCCCGGGUGUGGAUGAGGGAUGUAUGCUGAGCCAGGAGGUCCUACUUAGCGCUUAAAGGAGCCCACAAGCAGGAUGGGGACCGGCUUUUUACAUGAGUAGGUAGUGAUAGUACAAGGGGGAAUGGUAUUAAACAGAAAGAGGAGAGAUUUACGUGAGAUGUCAGAGGGAAAUUCUUUACUCAGGUUGGUGUGGCUCUGGCACUGCUGCCCGGAGCUGUGGGUGCCCCAUCCCUGCUGGUACCCAAGGCCAGGUGGGAUGGGGCCCUGAGCAGCCUGAGCUGAUGGGGGGCAGAGCACAGGGUGGAGGAUGGGGCCGGGUGGGCUUUAAGGUCCCUUCCAACCCAACCAUGCUGUGAUUUGGGGGUUUCGUUAGCUGGGUGUGUGUGCACUGCUGCCAGUGCAAGCUUCCCCAAAGCCUAAGUCUGCAAAGUGCUUUCCAGAGGGCUUCAUUUCCCUUUUUUAAUCACAGAUCUGGCCGGGAUGGACAGGAGGAUGGAGGGUGGGAGGAAGGGGUGUGUGGGUGAGGGGGGUUAAGGAGGAGCAGCGCAGUGCCGCAGCGGCGGCCACGGCGGGGCAGUGCGGCUCCGUGCACGGCAGUGCGGCAACGGCGGGGGGGGGGGGAGGGAGGACGGGAGAAAGGGGGAAACAUUAAGCAAACAAAUGAAAACAACACCAAAAAAGGGGGUAGGGAGAGAAAAAGGAAGCAAAACCAAAAAGAAAGCCAGCCUGCAAAUGUAAAUGCAGCAGCUACGUGCCAAGUGAAGGUGCUGAUGCUGUGAUAAGCCUUCAUGUCUGCAAAGUUUGCUGGGAAGAAAAAAGGGAUUCACGUCCAUAGGGGAUCAGAGCGCUGCUCUGACGUUGCUAUUUUUCUUUCAGCUUGGAAGGUCCUUCCCCUGCUCUCCCCCACUGGAUUCAAACCAGGCAGUGAAGCCAGGUCUGUUCCUGGAGCCGUUGGAGGCUCACCGAUGUCUGUCUUCGGACCUCCCUGCUGAUAAAGAUUUAUGUGAUAGGAAUAAUUUGGUUGGGGUCAGGAUUUCUCCUCCAUGGAACCCAGGGCUACGUGGGGAGCUGCUGGGAUCCCAGCACAGCCUCUGUCCGGCUUCAGUUACAGCUUGAGCGUGGAACCAUUUCCCCUUGCCCCUCCGUCUCUCACCCAGCAGUGCAGCACAGGAGCGCUCUGAUUGCGAUCAUGCAGUCAUCGAAGGGGUCGUCCCCCAAAAGGAUGCUUUGAUUUUCGAUGUGACACCCAGGUAAGCGAUGCUGGCGCAGCCCCGCAGCCUUCCUCAAUUGGAUCUGCACCGCAGUGAAGUCAGCCCCUCCCCGCUCCCACCAGGUGGCUCUCACGUUGCUUCCAUUUCCCUCGGCAGGGCUGAGCAGCUCCGCUAGCCGAGUUUACGUGGGAUGUGAGUUUUCCCAUCGCUUUACUUCGGGACGUGCGGCGUGGAGCCCUGGGGCAAUGCCGGCACCUCCAGCUGCCCCCGCCCCCUGUGUUCUGCCCCUGCUGAGGGGGUCAGCCCCGAAGGUGAGGUGAUGGAGGGCUGUGGAUGGGCACGGCUCGGCGCUGGACAGAGGACCCACAGCUGCACUGAUGGCCAUCCCUGCCCCGGCCCCAACAGUGCCGCACGUGCAAUGCUGUGUGCUUUCCCGGGGGGCUGAAGGUGCUGAAUUAGGCACUAACGUAUUUUCCUGUUGGAUCACUGUUUGACUCAAGAAAAUAAGAAAGGGCUAUUACUGCCUUCUGACCCGUUGCUUUGACAUUUGAGUUUCAGUUUGCUUAGCGUCAUAACGUUGAGAAAUUCAAACAGCUCUCCAGCUCGCAGAAUUAUGAACGCCUCCAUUUGGCACUGGAAGAAACCAGCCCUGCAUUCUGGAUUUCCUUACGUUCGCAUUUUCCCCAGCCCAGCAGGGUCGUUUUCCCUUUGAGAACAAUACAGGGCUUGGCUCCCCACGCUGUGCCAUGGCUGCAGCAGCUCAGUGCAGGGCAGGGCAGGUUGGUUCAUCCCCAGGAAGGCUCUGCCAGACACGGGGGCUGUACAGCUGUCCCAGCCAUAUGCCCUGCCCUGCCCUGGGCUGCAGAGGGGCCCUCGCUUUGCACUGCUGCAUCUUUGCUGCUGCAGUCUGCACUGAGGAGCUGGAGUUGUUGAAGGGCUUUUCUACUGAUAAAUGGAUGGAAACCCGUAUUUUCAUCUCACGUCAUCAAACAUUCAUCAGAUACUCCUGGUCAGUACCGACAGAGCCAGAUUUGAACUGGUGACCCAGCAGUAAAAGGCCCCGUUAGCGAUUUCCCUGAACCAUCGAGCCAGGGUGUGACACAAAGGCAGUGCCGUGGCGAUUUGUGCCACAGGUGAAAGCAGGUUCUGAUUUCUGUUUGCUGAUGACCGUUACCAAAGCGUUUUGAAGGGGUUCGUGCUCCCGUGUGAUCCAGAAAUAGGAAGAGCAGCACUGCCUGCACCCAUCUCCCCACAUAGGGCAGUGCUGUAUGAACCCGACCCGUUCACAUAUGUGGGUGGGGGGAGAGAGCCCCUCUGAGCCCCGGGACCCAAAAACGUCCUCAUGUGGCACUGUGGGACCGUCCUGCGCCCGGUCUGUGCUGUGCUGGUGCUCCCCAUAGGCAGGCAGGCUGCUUUGCCUCACAGUGCUGCUCUGUUCUUUCGCCGGCGAUUUUUAUAUCCCGGUUCUUUCUCUCUUUACAGAAUCAUUUGAGGAAAUAAUGUGUGAGGGGAAAAAAAAAUAUUACCUCCGGCAGUUGUGUUAUAACGGCUCUUGUGCUGACAGCCCUUUGGGAACGGUGGCAGCAGCAGGGUCAACAGCUAUUCCAGACCGACGUGAUGCGGGAGGGACCGGCCUGAUUCACAUCGCCUCAGCCAUCGCUUCCCUCGCAGCAUCUCCCCGGCAGAGCAGAGGUCCUGCUGGAGCCAGGCUGAAUGUUUUGGAGAAGAGAUCCUCAGAAGGAACACGGGAGGUGCGUUGGGACGCCUUCGCUCUGCACAGAGAUAAAGCCAGAGGGAUCCCACAUUCCGAACAAGGCAGAGCCUGAACUUGAACUGCGGGUUGUCCAAAGCUCAGGAGAGAGUUUAAAGAAGAAUGAGGCGGGGAGGAGGAAUGAAAUGCCUCUGGUGGUUGAGCCCUCUCACCUGCCGGAGGAUGUCGGGUCCGUCUGUGGCUGGGAAGUCUUUGGAUCAACGCAGGAGUGUGGAUGUAAGAAAAAAUCCUGUGCAAAGCAUCUGUGCUGGGGAGGAUGCGACGAGCGAAACGCUCCCGAGCCCCCUUCUCCACACCAGCAUAAAACACAGUGCUGUCGGUGGCUCUGAGGCUGCCCUAAGCCCAGCGUGGCGUUGUCCCCGCUCUGCUGGCUCUUGGCUGGAGCUGCUGGCACAUCACCUGUGCACGUGUGUGCAUGCAAGGAAGAAAGUAGGGGGAAGUUGUCCCUGUUGCUGUCACAGUGCUGUCCCCGCCUGGCAGAGGUGCCCUCAGCCCGUGCUGUGCUGCUGCUCCUUCAGCAUCCAGGAAAAGGCAUGGAGAUGGUCCCCCAUUCCCCAUAACAGGUUUGUGCCAACCGCUCAGAAUAUCGAUUCAAACGC
Molecule: long non-coding RNA, 4352 nt
Filed under: Gallus gallus (chicken)
Lineage: Eukaryota; Metazoa; Chordata; Aves; Galliformes; Phasianidae
Description: lncRNA (ENSGALG00010017195.1)
Source: RNAcentral